AGAGCGUAAGGGUAUAAGUGCGCCUGACUGCAAGAGAUAUAGCUCAAGCAGGUACGAAAGUAGGUCCUAGUGAUCCGGCGGAUUCCGAGUGGAAGGGCCGUCGCUCAUCAGAUAAAAGGUACUCCGGGGAUAACAGGCUGAUCUCCCCCAAGAGUUCAUAUCGACGGGGAGGUUUGGCACCUCGAUGUCGGCUCAUCGCAUCCUGGGGCUGAAGGAGGUCCCAAGGGUUUGGCUGUUCGCCAAUUAAAGCGGUACGCGAGCUGGGUUUAGACCGUCGUGAGACAGGUCGGUCCCUAUCUGACGUGGGUGUAGGAUGAUUGCGGAGGUUUACCCCUAGUACGAGAGGAUUGGGGUGGACGGUCCUCUGGUGUUCCAGUUGUCACGCUCGUGGCAGCGCUGGGUAGCUAUGACCGGAACGGAUAAGUGCUGAAUGCAUCUAAGCGCGAAGCCCUCUCCAAAACUAGUCAUCCCAACUAGCCCCCUGGAAGACUACCAGGUUGAUAGGCCGGCGGUGUAAGCAUGGCAACAUGUUUAGCUUACCGGUACUAAUCGGGCGAUCGGCUUGACCAC
Molecule: ribosomal RNA, 570 nt
Filed under: Planctomycetota bacterium
Lineage: Bacteria; Pseudomonadati; Planctomycetota
Description: Planctomycetes bacterium (bioreactor metagenome) partial 23S ribosomal RNA
Rfam family: Bacterial large subunit ribosomal RNA
Source: RNAcentral